AAGGAGUCUAACAUGCAUGCGAGUAUUUGGGUGGAAAACCCUUAUGCGUAGCGAAAGCGAAAAGGUGGGAAUCUUUACUGAUGCACCAUCGACCGCGUUUGAUUAUUACUAUUACAACGUGAGUAUGAGCAUGUAUGCUAGGACCCGAAAGAUGGUGAACUAUGCCUGAGUAGGGUGAAGCCAGAGGAAACUCUGGUGGAGGCUCGUAGCGAUUCUGACAUGCAAAUCGAUCGCCGAAUUUGGGUAUAGGGGCGAAAGACUAAUUGAACCAUCUAGUAGCUGGUUCCCUC
RNAcentral lists this unclassified non-coding RNA (290 nucleotides) under uncultured fungus. RNAcentral's name for it is "partial contains 5.8S rRNA, ITS2 and 28S rRNA". It matches the Rfam family "Eukaryotic large subunit ribosomal RNA", at positions 668 to 961 of the family's 3401-position model. The record is from RNAcentral. Lineage: Eukaryota; Fungi.